Molecule: non-coding RNA, 22 nt
Filed under: Arabidopsis thaliana (thale cress)
Lineage: Eukaryota; Viridiplantae; Streptophyta; Magnoliopsida; Brassicales; Brassicaceae
Source: RNAcentral
UUGUCUACAAUAGCAACAUAGA